UUAGAGGAAGUAAAAGUCGUAACAAGGUUUCCGUAGGUGAACCUGCGGAAGGAUCAUUAACGAUUGCUUCACGCAAAACACGUAUUGGUAAAUGGUUAUAGAGCUACAACUCCUGACGAGCUCAGGAAGUGUGGGUCGUCACAUCGUGGUCGUCACGUGUAUGCACUGCGAACGAUGUAAAACAAACAAACUAUGGCCUCUCAUAUUGCAUAAAAUCUUUCGCCACGGCAUACAGGCCUGGCAUCUGGUACGAGACUCUCGUAGUCUCAAAACCAACCUUACAACUCUGAGCGGUGGAUCACUUGGCUUGUGGAUGCUAUGAAGACCAUAGCUAAGUGUGAGAAUGGCAGCGAGCCGUCGCUAUAUGCGCUGUCCUCUUCUUAUCACAUGUCGAAUGCACAUUGCGCCCCACCCAGCGGUCAACCUCCUGCAGACAAAAGCCUGUUUGGAGCAAAGGAUGUGUGGCCCUCGAGCAACGGCGGGGGAGCCAGGAGCACAUUGGCGUGCGUUCCAGCCACUCGUGAGUAGUCAGGCUGAACCCCAUGGUGGGGCACUCCUAGUCGAGUGUGGUGGAUCGGGAUCAACUCCCUCUGCGCUUUAAGGCGAGGGUUUGAAUUUGCUUCUAAUGGAUUUUGGUCGACAUCAGUCGUGCCAACCUGCCUUGGCUCGUGCCUCUGUGCGUUUAACUUACAUAUCGAAGGCCAACGCUGGCGAUCACUCUUGCGGCCAGGGCGCUGUUUCGGCGGCAGCGCGCAGAGGUCCACCGAAUGGUCACACGAGAGUCGGGUCUCUGUUUCUCUUCUUGCCGCACAGAGAGUGGUCGAUACGUCAGCUCGCACGCUAAUGGCUAAGGCGUCCUAUUCGAGAAGAGCCCUACAUCUUUUACACACACGGUUAUGACACGCACGAGAUCAGGACGGAUAUCGUGUGGAGUAAAAGUAACGGAUUAGCGGUAUCGCACCACUCCCUUCACUGUGGCUUGGAAUGAGUGAGGCCUGCCGUCUCGUGCCACCACCUCGACUUAGGAGAGGAUACCCGCUGAACUUAAGCAUAUCAGUAAGCGGAGGAAAAGAAACCAAUCAGGGAUUCCCUUAGUAGGGGCGACCGAAAAGGGAUGAGCCCAGCGCAGAACCUCCCGGGCCACCCGGCCUGCGGCGGAAUGUUGCGUUAAGGGAAAGGUCGUAGUCAAACCCCACAGCCACGCGAGCACUAAGUAAGUCACGAAUUGGCUAUCCUAACUAACGGAAGGAGCAUCUCCAUGGAGGGUGUCAGACCCGUGUGGGCGCGUGUAAAUGCUGUGUGGGCUCGGCCUCUUUUCCCUGAGAGUCGCGUUGCUUGAGCAUGCAGCGCUAAGCAGGUCGUAAACUCGAUCUAAGGCUAAAUAUGUCCACAAGACCGAUAGUGAACAAGUACCGUGAGGGAAAGUGAAAAGCACUCUGAAGAGAGA
This 1447-nucleotide ribosomal RNA is filed under the name Niphargus subtypicus. RNAcentral's name for it is "eukaryotic LSU rRNA". The stretch from base 1012 to 1447 matches the Rfam family "Eukaryotic large subunit ribosomal RNA", at positions 1 to 386 of the family's 3401-position model. The record is from RNAcentral. Lineage: Eukaryota; Metazoa; Arthropoda; Malacostraca; Amphipoda; Niphargidae.